Neogale vison (American mink) is the source of this 782-nucleotide long non-coding RNA. RefSeq lists it as uncharacterized. Lineage: Eukaryota; Metazoa; Chordata; Mammalia; Carnivora; Mustelidae. The transcript has 3 exons. The record is from RefSeq and is a predicted model, not a curated record.
AAGGCAUUACUUCAUUAUCCUACAUUCUCAUAAUGUUCUUGAAAAGUCAGAGCCCUUUUAUUCCUGAUCUUCAGUAAGAGAAGACUGGAAAUAAGGAAGAAGUCUUCCUGAGCUACAGAAUCAUUCUACUUCUUUGAAAUAAAGAAAGUUGAAAAGAGGGCACUUCUUUUUCUGCCAAAGAUCUGGAAACACUUUGUCCCUGGUUGGACUUUCAGCCAAAUGAGGAUCUCCAUAGGAAUGGAAGAAAUCACACACUCUGCUCCAGAAUCCUACAUUUGCCAGGUCACAUUGCUUUACUUUGGAUUCCUACCAUCUGGGAAAAGGUCAGUCCAAAGACCUAAGACCUACCAUGGUGCUGCAGAUUGCUGAGCAAUGUCAUGGAAUAUGUCCUCUUGCAUCUUUGCCAGUGCCAACCUGCUACUGGUGAGGUACAGCAGUCUGAAAAGAAGUCAUCUGAGAACGGAAUUCUAACAACUUAAGAAAUAUUUCCUGCAGCCACCCCUCUUCUUUCCAAUUUGCAAAAAGCCAUUUCAAAAAUUUCUGAGCAGUGACACUAUAAGAAAAAGUAAACUACAGACCAAUAUCUCUGAUGAAUGUAGAUGCAAAAUCCACUACAAAAUUCUAGCAAACUCAAUCCAACAAUAUAUGAAAAAAAAUUCUCAAUUAAGUGGGAUUUAUUCCAGAGAUGCAAGCAUGCGUCAAUAUUUGCAAAUCAAGCAACGUGAUGUAUCAUAUCAUAAGAGAAAGGAUAAAAACCUUAUGAUUAUUUUAAUGGAUGCAGA